GGGUCUACCCGUUGGUCAGGCUUAAUUGUCUGCACUGGUGAGAUGGAUCUCUACCUUCUGAGGAACUUUCAUGCCAUUUAUUUGGUGUGAUGGGAAAUCAGGACUUUUACCUUGAAAAAAUUAGAGUGUUCAAAGCAGGCCUUUGCUCGAAUACAUUAGCAUGGAAUAAUAGAAUAGGACAUCGGUUCUAUUUUGUUGGUUUCUAGGACCGCUGUA
Molecule: ribosomal RNA, 216 nt
Filed under: Campeiostachys nutans
Lineage: Eukaryota; Viridiplantae; Streptophyta; Magnoliopsida; Poales; Poaceae
Description: Elymus nutans partial small subunit ribosomal RNA
Rfam family: Eukaryotic small subunit ribosomal RNA (bases 47-216)
Source: RNAcentral